CUAGCUGUAAACGAUGAGCACUUAUCUGGGGAUCCUCCCAUAGGUUCCCGGAUGUAGCGAAAGUGUUAAGUGCUCCGCCUGGGGAGUAUGGUCGCAAGGCUGAAACUCAAAGAAAUUGACGGGGGCUCACACAAGCGGUGGAGGAUGUGGCUUAAUUCGAGGCUACGCGAAGAACCUUAUCCAGGUCUUGACAUGUACGGAUUAACCCCGUGAAAGCGGGGCCACAGCUUCGGCUGGAACGUGCACAGGUGC
This 252-nucleotide ribosomal RNA is filed under the name uncultured Blastopirellula sp. RNAcentral describes it as "partial 16S ribosomal RNA". It matches the Rfam family "Bacterial small subunit ribosomal RNA", at positions 796 to 1041 of the family's 1533-position model. The record is from RNAcentral. Lineage: Bacteria; Pseudomonadati; Planctomycetota; Planctomycetia; Pirellulales; Pirellulaceae.